AUGGGCCCUGGCAAGUUUGAGCCAUUAGAGCCGGAAGAACCUCGCGAGUGCUAUGGGAACCAAGUAGGAUGCAUCCUACGGGAAUGUGUGAGCAUCAACGACGAUGACUUAAGGAGUAAAGAACAUUUGAGGCAGUUGCUCCUGACGAAGUUGCACAAGAGAUUCAAGUUCACCGACCGGGAUGCUAGCAUAGAACAACCGUGGGACGAUCCGAAGAUGAAAAAGAUUAACAAUCACGCCAUGGGCAUGUUCAACAAUGAUUUGGCCUCCAGGAAAGGGAGGGUGAAACAAGCUCGCUCCCGUGCUUGCAGUCGUCGCUAG
RNAcentral lists this ribosomal RNA (321 nucleotides) under Triticum aestivum (bread wheat). Its description in RNAcentral is "partial small subunit ribosomal RNA". Lineage: Eukaryota; Viridiplantae; Streptophyta; Magnoliopsida; Poales; Poaceae. The record is from RNAcentral.